UGUAGUCGCUUUUUUACUUCACUGCCUAGCUUCAAGGACCUAGGAGGAUUCCCCAGACGCGGGACCUAAGUUAAAAUACCGAGAAUUACAGGAAUUGGAGAGCGCCCAGAAUGAGGGGGUGGAGCUUUGCGGAUCCUCUGCUUGGCAUUUAUGUCUGUGCCAGCUGUGCUAAAGGUUGUUCUUUUAAGCACACACCACUACCAAAUCCCAGCCAGGAUGUCAGGACAUAUAUUACCUGAUUUCCAUGUCACUCACAAGAACCGGUUGGAUGAGAUGAGCAGCAACAUAAGAUGUGACUCUGACGCUGUAACCUCUGCUCUGUUGGGGUGACUGUUUUCACAGUUAAAUGAUACGAGUGCCUUGAGUUUCCUGCAAAUGAGUUUUCUGCAAAUGAGUUGCUCUUCGGAGCACAAUGCGAACGGAAUCCUUUCUCAAAGUUCCUUUGCACCUUUUCGGAAAGGAGAGGAGACAGGGCUUCAUGUUCCCUUGAAUCAUUUAUUCCAGGGCCAGUUCUAAAAAGUUUCACUAUUGUGGGGAAGCCAGGAGAGGGUACUUUGAAAAGAAAAAGAAAACCAUCUUCCCCUGCCCUCGCCCAGGAGCACAAUUCACUUGUGACAUUUUGCUAGACUUAAAAAGCCCUAAGAGUUUUCUUCCUUAACAGAGUUACAUUCCUAGCACUUCAAGGAUUCCUGGGAGGUCACUUGUCACUCUCAGAAGCGAACAAGUGGUGAAAAUACUAUCUGUGUUCCCAGAGCACCUCUAUGGCAUUAGGAAAGAGCUUUGCACUGGACUCACCCCCAGCACCUAAAAAAAGAAAAAAAAAAGGCAUGAAUUCCCUAAUGAGAUUUUCUGCCACACUGGUACACUGAUCUCGUCUGAUUUCUUUCUGCUAACCUAUUCAAAAUGAGAACUAAUUAGUUUCUCAUCCUUGGUACUAUUGACAUUUGGGGCCAGAUAAUUCUUUAUUGCAGGGGGCUGUCCUACACAUUGAAGGGGGUUUAGCAGCAUCCCUGACUUGUACCUACUAGAUGCCAAUAGAGCACCUCACCCCCUAGUUGGGACAACCAAAAAUGUCUCCAGAGUCUCCAGAUAUUGCCAAAUGCCCCUGGGGGAGGGGCGGGCAAAAUCACCCCCAAUUUAGAACCACUGGGUUAUACCGAUGCCUUGCAAGUGAACAAAUAUUGGGGGAGCACUUGUUAAGUCUGAGGCUCUGGGCUAAGGAUAAAAAACGUUGGUGCCUUCGUGGCAGUCACAGUAUUGACACAGAGGGUUAAAAUUAAGUAAAGUUAGAGAGAACAUAAACACCACUGGUUGAAAUAAAGGAGUGUGAGGAGGAGAAAGAGGACCCAUUGGGGUGGGAGAACACUCAGGGCACCUCACAGAGGGUGACAUUUGUGAGAGGCCUACAUGGACAGAGGUCUGAGGAGGGGGUAUAACCAUUCCAAGUGAAAGUAAUGGAAACUCAGCGACUACAGAAUGAUUGGAGAACAGCAAGUAGUCUAGUGCGGCUCAGCCUUAGGGUUUGAAUGAGGAAUAAUGAGAAAUGGAGCUAGGAAAAUAGUUUAGGAACUAUUUAGCCAUAAAAAGGAAUGAAGUGCUGAUGCAUGCCUCAACAUAGAGGAACCUUGAAAACAUUAUACUUUAAAAAAAAAAUUUAUUUACUUAUGUAUUUGGCUGCGUCGGGUCUUAGUUGCGGCACACGGGAUCUUUCAGUCGCAGCAUGUGAACUCUUAGUUGCGGCAUGCAGGAUCUAGUUCCCUGACCAGGGAUUGAACCCCGGCCCCCUGCAUCGGGAGCACGGAGUCUUAGCCACCGGACCACCAGGGAAGUCCCGACAACAUUAUACUAAGUUAAAGAAACCAGUCCCCAAAGACCACACAUUGUAUGAUGCUAUUUAUAUGAAAUGUCCAGAAUAGGCAAACCCAUAGAGACAGAAAGCAGAUUAGUAAUUGCCAGAGGCUGGGAGGAGGGGGAAUGGGAAAUGAUUGCUAAUGGGUUUAGGGUUCCUCUUUGGGGUAAUGAAAAUGUUCUGGAAUUAGAUAGUAGUAAUGGUUGCAUAAUCUUAUAUAUAUACUAAAAAAAUAGGACCUACUGCAGAGUUAAAAGAGUGAAUGUUAUGAUAUGUGAAUACCUCAAUUAAAAAAAAUAGGACCUACUGCAGAGGGCCUUAUAUUUUAAGCUGAAGGUACUUAAUGCUGGAGACACCAAGGAGUCACCAAAUGCUUUUAAUAUGCCAGUAAUAAUAAUAAAAUAAUAAAUAAUAUUAUAAUAAGAUAAUAAAUAAUUUUAUAAUAAAAUAAUAAAACAAGAAUAGUAAUGAAAGUGAGAGCAAUAGAUACCAUGGAUUGAGCACUUCCUAUGUGCAUUACCAGCACGGUCUGCACUGACCACCUAUUUAAACCUGAAAACACCCAACAGUCCCGUCUGCAUUUCACACAGGACUUAUUUUGUUUAUUGUUUGUUUCCUUCCUGACUAAAAUGUACGUUCCAUAGGAGCAGGGGAUUUUUUGUAUUUUAUUCACUACUUCAUCUCAAGGGUCCAGAACACCGCCUAGCAUACAAUAGGUACUGAAUAAAUACGUAAGAAGUGAAUGCUGUUGAUUAAGAGAACCUUAGAGGUCACAUAGAACAAGCAACUUGUUUUACAGCUGAGGAAAGGGGGGCAAAUAACAUGUUCCUCCCAUAGGAAUAUAAUGGGUGGAGCUGGGCCAACUGGAGAGGUAUCCAGGGGACUCUUGGUGCCUGCCCUGCAAAGCCCCUUUGAAGGCACUAGCCACAAGCUGUUCUUUCCAUUGAACUUACCUUGCUUUGCAUUGUGUGUGAUGGUCAUGUUUCUCCCACCUAGUAUCCAUUCCCCCCAUUCUCUGAAAAUAGUAUUUUGAUUCCUUAGAGGAAUAAUCCAUGUUGGUUCAUGUGGUUUGGGUGGAACUAGAUGGCAGGGAGACACAUGACCCAGGUCUGACCAAUCAGUGCACUGCAUUCUCUUGGUCACGAUUGGUCCAGUAGGAAGGCACAUGACCCAAGCUAGGUGAGUGAAACUCCAUUAUGGGAUUUUGCUGAAAGCAUUAAGGAGAAAUUCUCACUGGGUUUCUAAGCUGGUAGAAUGAAAGCUUGGAGCUGCUGAUGGCCAUUUUUGCCACUGCUUGGGAAGAGCCUGAGAAUGAAGGGAAUUCAGAGAGAAGCAGAGCCUAGAGAUGGUAGGAAACAGAGGCUUCGUGAUAACGAUUAAACCACUGAAUCCAGCUUUGCCUGAAGAAAGAUCAGUCCCUCUACUCAUAUUAAUUCCCUGAUUUGCUUAAGCCACUUUGAGUUUGGCUUGCAAGGAAGUGAAUCCUGACAAACACAUCAUAUGAUCCUCAUAGCAUGACUACAAUUACUGAAUCAAGAAUAAGUCACCAGGGGCUUCCUUCCCAGGUGGCACAGUGGUUAAGAACCCACCUGCCAGUGCAAGGGACACGGGUUCAAGCCCUGGUCCAGGAAGAUCCCACGUGCCGUGGAGCAACUAAGCCUGUGCGCCACAACUACUGAGCCUGCGCUCUAGAGCCCAUGAGCCACAGCUACUGAGCCCACAUGCUACAACUAUUGAAGCCCAUGUGCCUAGAGCCUGUGCUCUGCAACAAGAGAAGCCACCACAAUGAGAAGCCUGCGCACCACAACGAAGAGCAGCCCCCGCUCACUGCAACUAGAGAAAGUCCAUGCACAGCAAAAGACCCAAUGCAACCAAAAAUAAAUAAUAAAUUAAUUAAUUAAAAAAAAAAAGAAUAAGUUACCAAACCAAAGGCAACUUUUAGAAGGCAACUUAUCCUCCACCAGUUUACACAGAGGAGAGGGAACUGCCACUUCUCAGUAGAAAAACUGCUGAAGCAAAACUUCUGACCUCUUUCUUUACUACCUCCAUGAGAUGAGGAUAGGGUCUGAUGGGUGGAUUCAGAAAAAGAUGCCGAUGUUACUGAACUGAACUCAGGUCCACUUGCCUGAUGCUCAGCAAAGCCAGUCUACUGAAGCCAGGUUGUGGUAAAGAAAGGUACAGCAUUUAUUUGCAGGGCACCAAGCAAGGAGAACAGGCAGCUAGUGCUCAAAAGACCCAAACUCCCCAAUGGCUUUCAGGCAAGGGUUUUCUGUUUUUUGUUUUUUCUCCCUAUUUGUGGCUUAUCUUUUUCACCUCUUAACAUUGUGUCCUUUGAUGAACCAACGGUUUUUUUUUUUUUUUUUUUUUGGCUGCAUUGGGUCUUUGUUGCUGCAUGCAGGCUUUCUCUAUUUGUGGCGAGUGGGGGCUACUCUUCAUUGUGGUGCACAGGCUUCUCAUUGCAGUGGCUUCUCUUGUUGGGGAGCAUAGGCUGUAGGCACGCAGGCUUAAGUAAUAGCACGCAGGCUCAGUAGUUGUGGCUUGCAGGCUCUAGAGUGCAGGCUCAGUAGUUGUGGCACACAGGCUUAGUUGCUCUGCAGCAUGUGGGAUCUUCCUGGACCAGGGCUCAAACCCAUGUCCCCUGCAUUGGCAGGCAGAUUCUUAACCACUGUGCCACCAGGGAAGCCCCCAGGCAAGGGUUUUUAAAGACAACAUUGGGAAUGAGGGUUGCAGGGUGCAUGAUCAGCUUGUGAACAUUUUUCUGAUUGGUUGGUUGUGAGGUAACAGGGUGAUGUUUCGGGAAUCUUCAUCAGCCUUCUGGUUCCAACCGGUCUGGGGUCUUCGUGUUUGUGGUCAGCAUGUUUUCAACAUGCUCCACCUAGGAGGGGAGGGUCUUAAUUUCUGCAGAACAGUUCAAAGAUAUGUGUCAGAUUGUUGUCUAUAUCCCUUUGGGAGGAACUAGGAAUCCUGUGACUCUACUGUUAUAGUCAUUAACUGCUUUAGUCUGCUCUUUGAAACUCGGGGAAGGCCAAACAGGAAGUGGGGUACACGGAGGGGCUUGUACCUGGGAAGGCCCUGCAGGAUCCUGCUCAGUUUCAGUCCCACCUUUUCUUUGAUACUGCUCAAUCCUGAGUGGAACAGGGGUGGGACAAGAAAGGGAAUAAAGUGUUGGAUAGAGAGGUUAAUCAUAAAGGUGGCAGGGGAACUCAGUUUUAGGGGGACUGGGUUUCAAUGAGCAUGUUGCCCAGUCCUUUCUCUUUAUUCUUUCUUGCUGUGGUCUGUCCUUUGGAUACUCGUUUCCUCCUCUGCCAUGGGGAGCCUGUCCCUCUGGAGGAGGCCUGCAGUCUGUGACCAGGUAACUCAGUGUAAUCCAGAUGUGGAUUGUGUGCACAACAAAGCCAUGUUCUCCAAUCAGGCUCAUCAAUAAAGCUGAUACUUGGAGCCCCAGCUGCCUGAUUCAUGCAUCUACAGCUCAGUGGGUUUAGAAUUUGGAAGGGUCAAGAAGGGGGUAAUUAAUUAUCACUCCAUGAACCCCAAACAUGUUAAUUUUCUCUUCAGAAAACCUCAGAGAUGGGCACGAAGGCUGACAUUUGGGGGCUAAAAUAACACAUGGGAUCAGGUUUCUGGUGUAGUCAGGGCUCUAGGCUGAAAGGUAAUUGUGGGUUAAGUGGAUUCUUGACCUGAGCAGUUUGUGACAGCUACAGUUGUUCGGUAAGAUUUUAACUGGCAGGGGCCUGAGUACGAGGGCCUCUGGGGCAGGCCUUGACCUAACCCGUGAGAGUACAGCUUUGACCUCAGCAGGCAGCUGGGACAGAGAUUACGUUAUUGGGAAAAAAGCCUUUCUGUCCCAGGGAAGGCUUACCUUAAAGAGGGUAAAGCUUUAGCUUACAAACAUUUAGGCUCUGAUGGGUAGAAGAUUUUUGCUUCUUGUAUUACAUAUUUCAGCAAAGCUUCAGGCUGGAUUUUAAACAGCAAAGACAACUAAAUUCUCGAGUCAACAGAGAUCUUGCCUGUGAGAUUGUAGCCUUUUUACAGCAUGAACACAGGGAGUAGGUGGAUGCUGCAAAUCUGUUCUUCUGUAGGUCGUCCUGAGCUUCAUUCAGGGUCAUGAGCAGAACCUGUGAAGGGGCUGAUCUCUUGACUCCAUUUGGCUUGUCACAUGCUGGUAAGGUUCACCCCACUACUGUGAUCGAGGUUUGCUCUGAUUUGUUAAUUGCGUAAGCCUUGAUCAUGACUUUGGAUCUGGGGAGCCAAGACCCUGAGUUUACCUGCAGAAUGGGGGCAUAUUUUGUUAGUGGAAACAAACGAAUAGAACAGGACCCUUAUAUAGGAGAUAUGCUUCUUCUGGGGUUGAGGUAGAAAAAGCUAAUGAAAAUCCAAAAGCUAAGAAGGCAGUUAAUGAAGCUUAUGCCUAAAAGACUUUGCCUCUGGGGAACAGGUUUGCUCAGGCAAUAGAGGAAGAACUAGGUUGUUUUUAAAAAUAUGAUUCUGCUGCCUGCCA
Physeter macrocephalus (sperm whale) is the source of this 6347-nucleotide long non-coding RNA. RefSeq lists it as uncharacterized. The transcript is spliced from 3 exons. The record is from RefSeq and is a predicted model, not a curated record. Lineage: Eukaryota; Metazoa; Chordata; Mammalia; Artiodactyla; Physeteridae.